UUUGUGAAGAUGUGCUUGUUGAU
RNAcentral lists this non-coding RNA (23 nucleotides) under Rattus norvegicus (Norway rat). Lineage: Eukaryota; Metazoa; Chordata; Mammalia; Rodentia; Muridae. The record is from RNAcentral.